Long non-coding RNA from Helianthus annuus (common sunflower), 388 nucleotides. RefSeq lists it as uncharacterized. The transcript is spliced from 3 exons. NCBI's taxonomy places the organism in Eukaryota, Viridiplantae, Streptophyta, Magnoliopsida, Asterales, Asteraceae. The record is from RefSeq and is a predicted model, not a curated record.
UCAUCAUCAGGAGAAAGAAAAAGGGUUCUUUCAAAAACCCUUAAAACCCACAAAAUUCAUCAAAAUCAAAGAUGAAUCAAGCUAAAAAUUGGGGCUUUAACUAAUUUUGUGAUCAUCCAAGCUAGGAGAUCACAAGGAAAGGAAACUGGAGCGUCAAGUGGACAAGCCGGUGGUGACGCGCGACUGAAGGGGGUGCUUUGAAAGGUAGUGCUCAUUUCAUUUCGGAUGCCGAUCAAGCAAUGAUGCAAGAACCGAACACCAAAUUUUGUAGCUUCCGCGUUAAAUUAGACAUGUUUGGACAAUGAUGUUUUAUAAACAUUAGUAGAUGUUGAAUGUUUUAAACAAGUUAGAUUGUUAUGUUAAUACUCUAUGAUGAUGUACAACUUAA